CAAUAGCGUAUAUUAAAGUUGUUGCAGUUAAAAUGCUCGUAGUUGGAUUUCUGGUGGGAGCGAUCGGUCUGGCGCUUAGCGCGAGUACUUGCAUCGUCUCCGGCCAUCCUUGGGGAGAGUCUGUCUGGCAUUAGGUUGUCGGGCAGAGGAUCCUCAUCGUUUACUGUGAAAAAAUUAGAGUGUUCAAAGCAGGCUUAUGCCGUUGAAUAUAUUAGCAUGGAAUAAUAAGAUAGGACUUUGGUACUAUUUUGUUGGUUUGCGCACCAAAGUAAUGAUUAAUAGGGACAGUUGGGGGUAUUCGUAUUCCGUUGUCAGAGGUGAAAUUCUUGGAUUUACGGAAGACGAACUACUGCGAAAGCAUUUACCAAGGAUGUUUUCAUUAA
This 383-nucleotide ribosomal RNA is filed under the name uncultured eukaryote. RNAcentral's name for it is "partial 18S ribosomal RNA". It matches the Rfam family "Eukaryotic small subunit ribosomal RNA", at positions 592 to 976 of the family's 1831-position model. The record is from RNAcentral.